Molecule: long non-coding RNA, 199 nt
Filed under: Theobroma cacao (cacao)
Lineage: Eukaryota; Viridiplantae; Streptophyta; Magnoliopsida; Malvales; Malvaceae
Description: long non-coding RNA (TCAC_LNC000903)
Source: RNAcentral
AUUUAGAGUUGAGAUUUAGCCACAGAAAAUAAUUGAAAAAAGUCUCAUUGAAGCUAAGAAGAAUUUGAGGGAUUCAAGAAGAUUUGGAGAUCAUGAUUGCAAUUCUUGGGAUUCUUUAUUCUUUUUGUUAUUUUUUCAUUUUUCUUGGUUUGGUUUCUAUGUUUAAACUUUAUUUGAUGAUGAUGUGUGACAUUAUGGG